UACACUAAUCCGGCGAAACAGGAAGUAAAGUAGCGCCGCCAUUGCUGAGUUGCUGGAAUCACGUGACUUGCCGUGUUUUGCUAAGGAAGUAGGUGUUGGUCCCCGUAGGCGGUUGUUGCUGAUGCGAUAAGUUUCUCCUUUUUCUUUCGGGUUUUUUAGUGCAUAAGCUGUCCAAUUAUGCCGGGAAGAACAUGUUGUGUGGUCGGCUGUUUUAACAACAGUGUGAAAAUACAGGCUUGGCUUAAAGCCGCUUGUGAAAUUCACAAACCUUUGCUCCACGUUGACUGCCCAUGUAUACAGCCUUAUGGAUUGCAUCGAAUUCCUGGUCGAGCGGAGGACCAAGAUGUGCGUCAAAAGUGGUUGAAAUACAUUAACCGAGAUGGCUUCCAGCCAAACAAGAACACUUGGGUAAGUUUGGCUCUGACUGUCCAAUCUGUUAAUGCCACAGGUUGCAUGCAGUGGGUGUAACAUACAGUGAAACAGCGCUAGCUAAGUUUGCUAGCAAUAUCGAUAGUCACAGGCGAAAACAAAGCUGAAGCUUUUUAACGUCAAUGUUUGACGUUAAAUAAGAGAAAGUGCAGAGUGCUAUAGUAUUUAAAGUGCUGUCUUGUUCACACUUAUUUGAGAAGUACUUUUACAACCAAUGCAUUGCUCAUUAUGUAUUUAUCUUCAUCACUCUAAGGUUUGUGGGAUACAUUUUCCUGACGGACGACCCACAAGAGAAAACCCCUAUCCUGUGUUGAUCAUGGGUUAUGAAUGUCAUAUAACAACAGCUAGACCUCCCCCCAAAAGAAGAUGUCUUCAGCCAUUGCACCUGAACUCAACUACUGAACCUGAAGCUGAACCUGAAGCUAUGGAAACAGAUGUGGAUGUUGGGAAUUUGGAGAAUAUGCCUCUGCAGAAUUGUGAUGUCGGAACCCAGUGGCCAGAUCUAUGUGAUCACAACUACAGUUUCAGCAGCGGUAACAAGCGGCUGAAGGACUGUGGCACUCAAACGGAUCCAACACCGUCAGUAUCAGCACAUGAUUUAAACAAGAAAGACUUAAUAUUUUAUACAGGUUUAUGUGCUGACAGUUUCUGGCAACUUUUGCUAGCCUUGUUAACUUUUUGCUCACAACCACUUAAUACCAAAUUGGCCGUCCAUCAACAGCUUUUGCUUGUUUUAAUGAGACUCCGUUUGAGUUUAUUGUUUACUGACUUGGGUAAACGAUUUGGGGUGAGUAGAAGCACGGCAUCUGAAAUAUUUACAUUUUGGAGACCAAUCCUUGCCAGCUUUAUGAGGAAAUAGGUGAUUGCUUGGUUGCCCAGGGAUACGCUGAACAGAAUCAGGCCCAAGUCAUUUCACCAAAAUUAUCCUAAAGCUACAUGCAUCAUUGACUGUACUGAGGUCUUUGUACAAAGGCCACGGAAUUUAAGAAAAAGAUCACAAACCUAUAGUAAUUACAAACAUCAUAACACAUAUAAACUCCUAUACUGUAUUGCCCCCAAUGGCUAUGUCAUGUUUGUAUCAAAACCUUUUGGUGGAAGGGCCAGUGAUAAUUUCAUAACAAAGAACAGUGGUUUUGUUCAUCACCUGAUCCCUGGUGAUGAGAUUUUAGCAGAUUGCGGAUUCACCAUCAUGGAUAUAUUGCCUCCAGGAGUGAGUCUAGCUCUUCCUGCAUUCACACGUGGACGUAAGGAGCUGUCUGAACAUGAGGUGACAUCCACGCGACGCCUAGCGAAUGUCAGAAUUCACAUUGAGCGAGCAAUUCGAAGGCUGAACAAUUUUAAGAUUUUGUGUAAUGUUAUGUGUGGUAGGGUGCAAAGUGUUGAUGAGAUUGUAAGUAUUUGUGCAGGGUUAUGUAAUUUGCAACCUCAGUUAAUCCGUAACAGUACUGAAUGAAGAAGAAACACCUGAACUGUGUACAGUAUACCAAAUAUUAAUUUGUAUUUCAACAGAAAAAUCAACAGAGCAAACAACAGUUUCAGACAACAAUGUAAUUAGUUAAAAUGUACAGGUUUAAACUGUGAACAAAUGUCAAACUCUUUAUGUGUAUUACCGGUAAGUUGUCAUGUGAAAGCACAUUAAAGAGCACAUUAUAGAGCACAUAUGUAGAGCACAUAUGUAUAUGUAUAUAUAUGUGUAUGUGUGUAUAUGUGUGUGCAUGUGUAUAUGUAUAUAUAUGUUUAUGUUUACAUUUAUUUAUUUAUAUUUAUAUUAAUCCUCUAUACAGUUCUCUACAUUUAUCUUUUAUUUUACUUGAAUCCUGUUUUACUUCUAUUAUUAUCUCUUUCUAUAUUAGCUAAGGGUUUAUUGUUUACUGUUUUUGUUUACUUUUUAUAGUUAGUUAGUUAAGAGUUUAUUGUUUAUCUUAUAUU
Gadus macrocephalus (Pacific cod) is the source of this 2358-nucleotide long non-coding RNA. RefSeq lists it as uncharacterized. The transcript is spliced from 3 exons. Lineage: Eukaryota; Metazoa; Chordata; Actinopteri; Gadiformes; Gadidae. The record is from RefSeq and is a predicted model, not a curated record.